This 59-nucleotide transfer RNA is filed under the name Cricetulus griseus (Chinese hamster). The record is from Rfam by way of RNAcentral. Lineage: Eukaryota; Metazoa; Chordata; Mammalia; Rodentia; Cricetidae.
GCCGGGCUAGCUCAGUCGGUAGAGCAUGAGACUCUUAAUCUCAGGGUUAUAACCCAGCA